GAUGAACGCUGGCGGCGUGCUUAACACAUGCAAGUCGAACGAUGAAGCCCAGCUUGCUGGGUGGAUUAGUGGCGAACGGGUGAGUAACACGUGAGUAACCUGCCCUUGACUCUGGGAUAAGCGCUGGAAACGGCGUCUAAUACCGGAUACGAGCUUCCACCGCAUGGUGAGUUGCUGGAAAGAAUUUCGGUCAAGGAUGGACUCGCGGCCUACCAGGUAGUUGGUGAGGUAACGGCUCACCAAGCCGACGACGGGUAGCCGGCCUGAGAGGGUGACCGGCCACACUGGGACUGAGACACGGCACAGACUCCUACGGGAGGCAGCAGUGGGGAAUAUUGCACAAUGGGCGCAAGCCUGAUGCAGCAACGCCGCGUGAGGGACGAAGGCCUUCGGGUCGUAAACCUCUUUUAGCAGGGAAGAAGCGAAAGUGACGGUACCUGCAGAAAAAGCACCGGCUAACUACGUG
This 466-nucleotide ribosomal RNA is filed under the name uncultured bacterium. Its description in RNAcentral is "partial 16S ribosomal RNA". It matches the Rfam family "Bacterial small subunit ribosomal RNA", at positions 28 to 507 of the family's 1533-position model. The record is from RNAcentral.